RNAcentral lists this long non-coding RNA (855 nucleotides) under Nicotiana tabacum (common tobacco). Its description in RNAcentral is "long non-coding RNA (NTAB_LNC013874)". Lineage: Eukaryota; Viridiplantae; Streptophyta; Magnoliopsida; Solanales; Solanaceae. The record is from RNAcentral.
AAAGAAAAAUAACAAGACCAGACUACCCUAACUAAAGACACAGACGAAGCGAAAGGGCUGUUUCAUAAAUCAAUCCUUUUCUAUCCCAAAUUGUGCAACCAGAAACAAGCAAUUCAUACUAAAAAGCUUCAAGGUUUCCAGAUGAUGGUGGUGUCCGCGAUCAUGGCAGUAACGACGUAUGGAUCCAUAUUUGAAGCUGGCCUUCUGUCCUCAAAGUAUCCCUUGCCCGCCUUCUCUGUGUCCCGUCCUACACGGACAGAUGCACCGCGGUUUGCAACCCCCUGCACAUGUCAAAUGAAGUUGUGUUAUAACACGAUAAGAUGUUAUGAGUUUCAUUUUAUAUAACAGUGUUUAAUUGGACUUGGAGGGGGCAGCCAGGUACACUAAGCUUUCGUACCACAAGGGUCCAUUGUACGCAGCCUUAAUGUAAGAGGCUGUUUUUACGGCUCGAACCCGUGACCUCCUGGUCACAUGUAGGACUUUACCAGUUACGCCAAAACUCCCCUUCUUAAUUGGACUUGGAGAUUAAAAAAAAUUUCUUAGCAACAAAGACCCAUUCGAAAUGUUUAAACAGCAGAGAAAGUCCAAAGUCGAUCUCAACUUCCUAACCAUAUUUAUAGUUGAACCUCCACUACCAAAGAAAAAAAUAGUCAAAUUAAGAAAUGAUGAUGAGAAAGAUAAAACUGUUUAUAUACCCAUUUGAAGGUGUCGAUGUUGGCUGUUUCGUGCUUUCCAGUGAGACGACGCUCAUUGCCUUCGCCAUAUGCAGCAAUGUGCUCUUUGUGCUUCAGGCCAAGCUUCUCAAUAGCCUUCAAAAUGACUUCGUAGCCUCCAUCUUCCCUCAUCAACUUGGUG